AUUUCUGUGAGGCUGGUCGAAGAAAGAACUCCAAUCUGUUACACAAUGUGUGGUCAUUGUUUACAUUCACUUACAUAAGUAUGUAUGAAUGUAUUUGCAUACAUUUAUUAAUAGAUAUGUACAUAUGUAUGUACAACCAUAUUCUAGCAUAGUGCACCCAUGAACACACAAACUUCCCUAUCUUAUCAUUUCUACUGUGAGUAUUUACAUUAAUAGUACUGUUUUUUCAUGGAUUUUUCUCGGUUUCUUUUCAUUAGUACGUACUUACAUACAUACAUAUGUACCAACAUAUGUAUGAACAUACAUACAUAUAAAGCCGGUGGCAUUAAGUAUCAAGCAAGAAUCAUUCUUUUAAUGAUUAAAGAUAUACAUAUGUAC
This 378-nucleotide long non-coding RNA is filed under the name Drosophila guanche. The record is from RNAcentral. Lineage: Eukaryota; Metazoa; Arthropoda; Insecta; Diptera; Drosophilidae.